UCAUUGCAACCCUCAAGCUUGGCUUGGUGUUGGGUACUUCGUCCCCUUGGGGCGGGCCUGAAAGUUAGUGGCGGUCCAGCGAGACUUCGAGCGCAGUAAAUUUUCAUCCGCUCUGGAAGCUUCUCCCUGUGUGCCUGCCAGAGACCUCUAAUAUUUCAAUGGUUGACCUCGGAUCAGGUAGGGAUACCCGCUGAACUUAA
This 200-nucleotide unclassified non-coding RNA is filed under the name soil metagenome. Its description in RNAcentral is "partial contains internal transcribed spacer 2 and large subunit ribosomal RNA". The record is from RNAcentral.